AUUGAACGCUGGCGGCAGGCCUAACACAUGCAAGUCGAGCGCGCGGCGGACGGGUGAGUAAUGUCUGGGAAACUGCCCGAUGGAGGGGGAUAACACCUGGAAACGGUAGCUAAUACCGCAUACCAUCAGAUGUGCCCAGAUGGGAUUUGCUGGUAGGUGGGGGAAUGGCUCACCUAGGCGACGAUCCCUAGCUGGUCUGAGAGGAUGACCAUCCAAACUGGAACUGGGACACGGUCCAGACUCCUAAGGGAGGCAGCAGUGGGGAAUAUUGCACAAUGGGCGCAAGCCUGAUGCAGCCAUGCCGCGUGUAUGAAGAAGGCCUUCGGGUUGUAAAGUACUUUCAGCGAGGAGGCGUUACUCGCAGAAGGAGCACCGGCUAACUCCGUGCCGGCCGCCGCGGUAAAUC
Molecule: ribosomal RNA, 406 nt
Filed under: uncultured bacterium
Lineage: Bacteria
Description: partial 16S ribosomal RNA
Rfam family: Bacterial small subunit ribosomal RNA
Source: RNAcentral